GAUCAUUAACGCGCAGGCCGGAGGCUGGCCCCCCACGAUAGGGCCAAACGUCCGUCAGGGGUGAGCAGAUGUGCGCCGGCCGUACCGCCCCAUUCUUGUCUACCUUACUCGGUUGCCUCGGCGGGCCGCGCUCUCCCAGGAGAGCCGUUCGGCGAGCCUCUCUUUAGUGGCUAAACGCUGGACCGCGCCCGCCGGAGGACAGACGCAAAAAAAUUCUUUCAGAAGAGCUGUCAGUCUGAGCGUUAGCAAGCAAAAAUCAGUUAAAACUUUCAACAACGGAUCUCUUGGUUCCGGCAUCGAUGAAGAACGCAGCGAAAUGCGAUAAGUAAUGUGAAUUGCAGAAUUCCGUGAAUCAUCGAAUCUUUGAACGCACAUUGCGCCCCCUGGCAUUCCGGGGGGCAUGCCUGUUCGAGCGUCAUUUCAGCCCCUCAAGCCCGGCUUGUGUGAUGGACGACCGUCCGGCGCCCCCGUCUUUGGGGGUGCGGGACGCGCCCGAAAAGCAGUGGCCAGGCCGCGAUUCCGGCUUCCUAGGCGAAUGGGCAACAAACCAGCGCCUCCAGGACCGGCCGCCCUGGCCUCAAAAUCUGUUUUAUACUUAUCAGGUUGAC
RNAcentral lists this unclassified non-coding RNA (608 nucleotides) under Trichophyton interdigitale. Its description in RNAcentral is "sequence contains 18S rRNA gene, ITS1, 5.8S rRNA gene, ITS2, 28S rRNA gene". The stretch from base 265 to 418 matches the Rfam family "5.8S ribosomal RNA". Lineage: Eukaryota; Fungi; Ascomycota; Eurotiomycetes; Onygenales; Arthrodermataceae. The record is from RNAcentral.